Long non-coding RNA from Oncorhynchus gorbuscha (pink salmon), 477 nucleotides. RefSeq lists it as uncharacterized. Lineage: Eukaryota; Metazoa; Chordata; Actinopteri; Salmoniformes; Salmonidae. The transcript has 3 exons. The record is from RefSeq and is a predicted model, not a curated record.
GGAAGACUGCAGUCAAACACUGGAGCUGAAUGUCAACAUUAAAGAUGAAGAAGAGGUUUCUCAUGGACUAGAAUUAAGUCUGAGGCCGGUAACAUCAACAGUGAGGACAAACCCAGCCUGCCUCUCUCCUUCCACACUGAGUCCAAACCCACAGUCACUGGGUCCUGAUUGUUACAGUGGAGCCCAGUUUGCACUGCAGGAUCCAGAGAUGGCAUCAGUGAAGCUGGAAGACUGCAGUCAAACACUGGAGCUGAAUGUCAACAUUAAAGAUGAAGAAGAGGAGGAGAAGAUUGGAACAUGUGUUUCUCGUGGAGACCAUGUUGAGACAUUCUCUACAUCCAGAGAGCAACAGCAGGAAGAUCACAGACCUAAGAGGUCUCACCACUGCCCACAUUGUAAAGAGAUUUUCCCAAUUCUUUCAAAGCUAAAAAUACACCAAAAAAUUCACACAGUUGAGAAUCUGUAUUCCUGUACUGA